CCCGGUCCUCGGUAGUGGCUCUCAGCACCGCCAGUGAGCGGUCUGCGGGCCUCGAUCGAAGACCGGC
Nocardioides dokdonensis FR1436 is the source of this 67-nucleotide regulatory RNA element. It matches the Rfam family "Actino-pnp RNA". NCBI's taxonomy places the organism in Bacteria, Bacillati, Actinomycetota, Actinomycetes, Propionibacteriales, Nocardioidaceae. The record is from Rfam.